AUAUUUCGUCUUUUUCAGCGAGGUCGUGAGACACGUGAAAUCCAUGGAUCUUUCGAGGCCAGUCACCAUUGCUAUUGCACAGAGUUACAUAUACGAUAAAUCUGCGCAAUAUCUCGACGUGAUAAGCUUCAAUCGAUACAACGCGUAGUACCACGACCCGGGGACAUUGCAAAUCAUCACUGGCAACGUCGUCGAAGAAGCCACCGCUUGGCACCGCAAGCAUAACAAGCCCGUGCUUAUGUCCGAGUACGGGGCUGACUCCCUCGCUGGAUUACACUUCUUACCGGAAUACAUCUGGUCAGAAGAGUACCAAGUGGGAGUGAUGUCGGAGCACUUCAAGUCUUUUGACCAGUUGCGUCAAGCAGGUUUCUUCGUAGGAGAGUUUA
Long non-coding RNA from Cydia splendana, 386 nucleotides. RefSeq lists it as uncharacterized. The transcript is spliced from 3 exons. The record is from RefSeq and is a predicted model, not a curated record. NCBI's taxonomy places the organism in Eukaryota, Metazoa, Arthropoda, Insecta, Lepidoptera, Tortricidae.